GGCGGGAAAGGCCGCGAGUGAGCGUGAGGAGUGUCGCGUGAGCGAAUCUGACGAGGCCGGAAGGGGCCGGGGGAGGUUGCUAGACGUUGCACUUGAUGUUUCUUUACCGUCAUUUUGAUCUCUCUGACCGGAUUGAAGAGCCCUGUAGGGAUCCCGAGGCCCGGGGAAGGGUGACUUGACUUUGGGAGACCUGGAACGUUCCCAACCGUGGGGACCCAGGAAACUGCCUACAGCCACCUUGACUCUCCUGGUGCGAGUUUGAGCCUGGCCCCGGCCCCGGCCCAGGCCCCAGCCCCAGCCCCGCAGGACGGGCCAUCAAGACGGUGAAAACUCCAGUCCAGCCCCACCACCAGCCUCUUGGGGACCGAGACUCGUUUCCUGCUCUUGGAGGAACCUGAACCCUAGCUCCCUCUUCUCCUUUCGGAGGCUGUAGUUCUGGGGAAGGAGUGGAACACAGAGGUCCGUGUUUACAACGCGAAUGCAUUCUGGGAAUCAGAGAAGGGCUGCUUUGUAUUUUGAGGUAUGUUCCAUUUCAGCUGCUGGCAAACUAGUAGCAGUGAAGAUUUGUGCCUCUCAGG
This is a long non-coding RNA of Sciurus carolinensis (gray squirrel), 578 nucleotides long. RefSeq lists it as uncharacterized. The transcript is spliced from 3 exons. NCBI's taxonomy places the organism in Eukaryota, Metazoa, Chordata, Mammalia, Rodentia, Sciuridae. The record is from RefSeq and is a predicted model, not a curated record.